CGUCCCUCCCCACUCUUCCACAGAAGAUCAGCAGCCCUGACACCGUGUCGCGGGCGUCGGCUCCUCCGUUCCUGAUGCGCUCGCGGCCGCAGGCGCUGCGAAUCACGGGCCGCGUCCUCACCCUCACCGUCCAGGACGGCACGCUGCUCGGCCAGAUCCAGGUCGUCGGGGGCAACAAGACGGGCGUGUUCGUGCACGGGGUCACCCAGGACUCGUCCGCCCACGCGGCGGGGGUCAGUCCCGGAGCCCAGAUCUUAGAGGUGAAGUACGAGCAGGAGAGGCAAGCCCUGCAGAUGGUGCUGGAGGACUCCACCCAGGAGGAGGCGC
Long non-coding RNA from Clupea harengus (Atlantic herring), 327 nucleotides. The record is from Ensembl. Lineage: Eukaryota; Metazoa; Chordata; Actinopteri; Clupeiformes; Clupeidae.